GGAGAGGUACCGAAGUGGUCGUAACGGGAUCGACUCGAAAUCGAUUUGGGGACCAAAAGUUCCCACGGGGGUUCGAAUCCCCCCCUCUCCGCCA
Molecule: transfer RNA, 94 nt
Filed under: Desulfobacteraceae bacterium
Lineage: Bacteria; Pseudomonadati; Thermodesulfobacteriota; Desulfobacteria; Desulfobacterales; Desulfobacteraceae
Description: tRNA-Ser
Rfam family: tRNA
About the family: Transfer RNA (tRNA) molecules are approximately 80 nucleotides in length. Their secondary structure includes four short double-helical elements and three loops (D, anti-codon, and T loops). Further hydrogen bonds mediate the characteristic L-shaped molecular structure. tRNAs have two regions of fundamental functional importance: the anti-codon, which is responsible for specific mRNA codon recognition, and the 3' end, to which the tRNAs corresponding amino acid is attached (by aminoacyl-tRNA synthetases). tRNAs cope with the degeneracy of the genetic code in two manners: having more than one tRNA (with a specific anti-codon) for a particular amino acid; and 'wobble' base-pairing, i.e. permitting non-standard base-pairing at the 3rd anti-codon position.
Source: RNAcentral